This 216-nucleotide ribosomal RNA is filed under the name uncultured fungus. RNAcentral's name for it is "partial small subunit ribosomal RNA". The stretch from base 93 to 216 matches the Rfam family "Eukaryotic small subunit ribosomal RNA", at positions 738 to 864 of the family's 1831-position model. The record is from RNAcentral. Lineage: Eukaryota; Fungi.
GUGGCCCAACGGCGGUCGGCGGAAACGUCUGUACUGCCGGUUUUCGGACUACCUCUUUCUGGGGGAACGUCGGCCCUUAACUGGGCUCGGCGGGUAACCAGGACGUUUACUUUGAAAAAAUUAGAGUGUUUAAAGCGGGCAUUUGCUUGAAUACAUUAGCAUGGAAUAAUGAAAUAGGACGGACGGUUCUAUUUUGUUGGUUAUGGGACCACCGUA